UACGGAGGAGGCAGCGUUAUCCGGAAUUAUUGGGCGUAAAGCGUCCGUAGGUGGCUCUUCAAGUCUGCUGUCAAAGAGUGGGGCUUAACCUUGCCAAGGCAGUGGAAACUGAAAGGCUAGAGAGCCGUAGGGGUAGAGGGAAUUCCGGUGUAGCGGUGAAAUGCGUAGAGAUCGGAAGGAACGAAUCGGAUGCCCGAAGGCGGCUAAG
This 208-nucleotide ribosomal RNA is filed under the name uncultured bacterium. Its description in RNAcentral is "partial 16S ribosomal RNA". It matches the Rfam family "Bacterial small subunit ribosomal RNA", at positions 524 to 732 of the family's 1533-position model. The record is from RNAcentral.